GAUGAACGCUGGCGGCGUGCUUAACACAUGCAAGUCGAACGAAGCACUUUAACCUGAUUCUUCGGAUGAAGGUUUUUGUGCCUGAGUGGCGGACGGGUGAGUAACGCGUGGGUAACCUGCCUCAUACAGGGGGAUAACAGUUAGAAAUGACUGCUACUACCGCAUAAGACCACCGAGCCGCAUGGCUCGGUGGGAAAAAGUCCGGUGGGAUGAGAUGGACCCGCGUCUGAUUAGGUAGUUGGUGGGGUAACGGCCUACCCAGCCAACGAUCAGUAGCCGAGAUGGGAGGGUGACCGGCCACAUUGGGACUGGGACACGGCCCGAACUCCUACGGGAGGCAGCAGUGGGGAAUAUUGCACAAUGGGGGAAACCCUGAUGCAGCGACGCCGCGUGAGCGAAGAAGUAGUGCGGUAUGUGAAGCUCUAUCAGCAGGGAAGAAAAUGACGGUACCUAACUAAGAAGCACCGGCUAAAUACGUG
Molecule: ribosomal RNA, 479 nt
Filed under: uncultured bacterium
Lineage: Bacteria
Description: partial 16S ribosomal RNA
Rfam family: Bacterial small subunit ribosomal RNA
Source: RNAcentral